This 424-nucleotide unclassified non-coding RNA is filed under the name fungal sp. Its description in RNAcentral is "partial internal transcribed spacer region". The stretch from base 1 to 46 matches the Rfam family "Eukaryotic small subunit ribosomal RNA", at positions 1786 to 1831 of the family's 1831-position model. The record is from RNAcentral. Lineage: Eukaryota; Fungi.
AAGUCGUAACAAGGUUUCCGUAGGUGAACCUGCGGAAGGAUCAUUACCACGUAUCCACGUAUCCACCAACUGUGCACUGGUUCUCACCCCUCUCCCUCACCGACCUACAUGAAUUGGAAGCGAAUGCAACACUUAUUUGAUGAAGGACAUCUUGAGAGAGAUGUCUUAAUGAGCAUUCCACUAUCUGUAGCGCGUUCGCGCGUCUACUCACAAUUGUAGUAGGAGCGAGGUCACCUAUUUCUGCUAGUCGCUCGUUUCAUCAUUUGGAGCCGCAUGCUAGUGGGAAGCAACACUCUACACCUCAAUCACCCCCUUUUUGCUAGUUGACUUUUCUAUGUUGUCAUGAAUCUUUUUUGACUCGUGAUACACGUUUCUUCAUUGAACGUUGAAUGUACAACUCUUAGCAAUGGAUAUCUUGGUUCUC